UGCAGAUGCAGAAAAUGGGAAAGGAGAUAUGAACAAAAAGAAUAAGCCAAUUUUUAGACAAUCCUUAAUUACACAAUUCAUACCUAGACAGAGUAAUAUAGAGCAGAUUUGUCAGGAAAACGAUGUUAGUACUCAAGGAAUUAAUAGCAAAAGUACUCAUAAUAAAGAAUUUUGUAAAAUCAAAUAUAUACCAGCACUAACAAAUAAAAUAACGAACAUCUUUAAAAAGUAUGAAAUAUCCGAAAUAAAAUUCGCUAAAUACAAUAACAACAAAAUCGGCACCUUAAUAUCAAACAUGAAGGACAAAAUCAAAACUUUAGAUAAAGUAGAUACUAUAUACCAAUUAAAUUGCAUUGAUUGUAAUAAAAUAUAUAUAGGGGAAUCAAAACAACAUCUUAAAAAACGAAUACAACAACACAAAUACGAUACUAAACAAAUAAAAAUUCAAAACAAAACAGCUUUGUGCCAACAUUCUGUAACUUUAAAUCAUAAGUUUGAUUUCGAUAAUCCUAAGAUAUUAACAACAAAUAAAAACAUACAAAUAAGGAAAAAUUUAGAGUCAAUCUUCAUAACAAAAAAUAAUAAUAAAACAGUUAAUUUUAAAACCGAUGUAGGAAGAAUAGGGGCACAUUAUGCGGAUAUUUUAAAUAAAUUAGUGAUAUAAUAGAAUAUGGGAGAGAAAACAGGUUUCGGACAAAGGAAUACAAUUGUUAUCUGACCUUGUAUGAAAAUUUCUCUUAGACUUGAUUCGUAAGCAUGAUAAGAUGUAUCGGAAUAAAUUUAAGAAACAAUUAAUGAUAAAAAUUGAUGAAUAGUCUUAGAUAAGAGUAUUAUUAACCUGAUGAUGGGAACAUUUCCCGAAACGUCGUUAUAAUUGGAGUUUUAGAAAUAAAGGAGGGAAUGAUGUCACAA
Molecule: non-coding RNA, 912 nt
Organism: Onthophagus taurus
Lineage: Eukaryota; Metazoa; Arthropoda; Insecta; Coleoptera; Scarabaeidae
Source: RefSeq, a predicted model, not a curated record